This is a long non-coding RNA of Cicer arietinum (chickpea), 1233 nucleotides long. RefSeq lists it as uncharacterized. The record is from RefSeq and is a predicted model, not a curated record. NCBI's taxonomy places the organism in Eukaryota, Viridiplantae, Streptophyta, Magnoliopsida, Fabales, Fabaceae.
AAACCUGAUGAAAUUGAUGGUGGCGACCAAUCCUAUUUCCAAACCUAUUUCAAAAACCUCAACAGAAACCUAAUUGUUCAUUUGUGUCUCAACCUAUUUCAACCUUCACACCUCGCGUCGCAUUUCAACUAUAGUCACCACCGUCACACCUCGCCGCCGCAUCUCAACCAUAACCACCACAGUCGCACCUUGCCGCCAUCGCCACCAUCGAAUCUUAACUUCCUUACGUUGCAUCUCAACUUCUCUGUCAUCGUAAUCUCGUCGCUAUCGGAACCUCGUCACCUUCGUAAUCUCAUCGCCGUAUUGCAAAUACGGUGUUUUUUCUGAGAUUGAAGUCUAUUCUCAAGUUGAAGGAGCCAAAUAGACAUUUUCGCCAUUUCUCCUUGUAUAGAGUCCUUUGGUAGACAUGAACUAAUGUGAUCAAUUUAAAAGCCACUGGAAGCUAGCUGUGCAAACAUGCAUAUUCAUAUGAUAGUUUAGACUGUUCUUCUUGUACUAUUUAUUUAUUAUCGCUGCAGUGAUUGUCAUCCCUUCAAGUUCAGGAAUAAGCAAAAGUGCAGUAGAUAAAUAUUUUGUAGAUAUCAACACAGAUGAUUGGUUUGUUCAGCACUUUCUGGAUUCAACAUCUUCAAUAGUUGUUUCAAAAUUGUUUAUGGUCGAACAACCACGUGAUGUGAAAUUGAUAAAAUGUUUGAAGGAAUCGUUUGUGUUGGAAGCCUUGUUCCACCUAAUUUAAUGAAUCGAAGUGUUCAUAGCAAGAUACAAAAGCUUGGGGAGGAAAAGAAGAGUAAGAAGAAAAGGUAAAGGAGUGGCUCGCAGACUAGGAGGCUGAAGCAUUGAGAUGCCAGAAGCUGCUGGUGGAGGAGGAGGAAGCUGUACAGACAAACACCACAUGGACCACUCCUAAGCUGAAUUUAUUGUUGUCAAUAAGCUGAAUUCACGUGGAGAAGGGCAUUGAGCAUCGACCGAAGCUUCUUAGCUGAGAUUUCAACUCUUGGAAAUACCAGGCACAGGAACAUUGUGAAGCUACAUGAAUUCUUUGAAAAUAAUUUUGAUGCGAAAUUACCUGCGGAAUUUGAUUCAAAAAGUAUUUUAGUGCAAAAUUUUAUGUGGAUAUAUCUGCGGAUUUUCAUAACGUAUAAUAUUUGUAGGAAUAGACCUGCAGAUAUUUUUGCAUGAAAAAUCGAAGAAAAAAAAAGCCUUAAGUUUACUAAAUACUUGCUGCAGAAUUUA